Oncorhynchus gorbuscha (pink salmon) is the source of this 544-nucleotide long non-coding RNA. RefSeq lists it as uncharacterized. Lineage: Eukaryota; Metazoa; Chordata; Actinopteri; Salmoniformes; Salmonidae. The record is from RefSeq and is a predicted model, not a curated record. The transcript has 4 exons.
GUUUGAACCUCUUUCGUUGCCGUAGUUAGAGCCUUGUUUCCUAGCAACAAGCAUCAGCACUCUGGCAUUAACUGUUACUGAUGCAAAACAAACAUUUUUCGAAACUGUUUAAGGCCAAAAACAUCAGCUAAAGUAACGCGUUAGCAGACCUGUGUUUGACCAAGGAAGAUGUCUGCCUUUCUCAAACACUCACCUUCGGCUUCCACGUGGGUUUGGCAGUAUUUUGGAGGGGUUGUUUCGAGAGGUCAUCCCCACGUUUGCGACAUUUUACUUCCCCGCUCUUCUCAAAGAACGAGAAGAGAGUGGCCUGGAGUGGUGUGCCAGGCUAGAGGACAGAUUCUCCAACAAUCAUGUAUUCAAUAACUCACCCAAUCAAGUCAAAACCAAUCCAGCUGAUGCAUCUCUGAAGAUUUCUGAGUGAGUCUCAUCUCAGCACAUUAUCUACACCCAAGGAGAGGGACAACAUCAGACCGCUUUUUUCCCACAUAUUUAAUUGAAAGAAAAGAACAAGAGAGACCAAGAAAAGUCUUAUGGUGAAAAUAAA